RNAcentral lists this small RNA (30 nucleotides) under Bombyx mori (domestic silkworm). RNAcentral describes it as "ovarian small RNA-12362". Lineage: Eukaryota; Metazoa; Arthropoda; Insecta; Lepidoptera; Bombycidae. The record is from RNAcentral.
AUACGUACUACAUGUCGGAGCCAUCCGAGC